AGAGUUUGAUCCUGGCUCAGGAUGAACGCUGGCGGCGUGCCUAACACAUGCAAGUCGAGCGUGAAGUUUUGGAAUGAUACUUCGGUAAAGUGAAGGAACGGAAAGCGGCGGACGGGUGAGUAACGCGUAGGUAACCUGCCCCAUACACAGGGAUAGCCUAGGGAAACCUGGAUUAAUACCUGAUGAUGCGAAGGAGUCACAUGGCUUUUUCGCCAAAGAUUUAUCGGUAUGGGAUGGACCUGCGUCUGAUUAGUUAGUUGGUGAGGUAACGGCUCACCAAGGCAGCGAUCAGUAGCCGACCUGAGAGGGUAAUCGGCCACAUUGGAACUGAGACACGGUCCAAACUCCUACGGGAGGCAGCAGUGGGGAAUAUUGCACAAUGGGCGCAAGCCUGAUGCAGCAACGCCGCGUGAGCGAAGAAGGUCUUCGGAUCGUAAAGCUCUGUCCUUAGGGAAGAAACAAAUGACGGUACCUGAGGAGGAAGCCCCGGCUAACUACGUGCCAGCAGCCGCGGUAAUACGUAGGGGGCGAGCGUUAUCCGGAAUUAUUGGGCGUAAAGAGUACGUAGGUGGUUUUGUAAGCGUGGGGUGAAAGACCGAAGCUUAACUUCGGUUAGCCUUGCGAACUGCAAGACUUGAGUGCAGGAGAGGAAAGUGGAAUUCCUAGUGUAGCGGUGAAAUGCGUAGAUAUUAGGAGGAACACCAGUGGCGAAAGCGACUUUCUGGGACUGUAACUGACACUGAGGUACGAAAGCGUGGUAGCAACAGGAUUAGAUACCCUGGUAGUCCACGCGUAACGA
RNAcentral lists this ribosomal RNA (799 nucleotides) under uncultured bacterium. RNAcentral describes it as "bacterial SSU rRNA". It matches the Rfam family "Bacterial small subunit ribosomal RNA", at positions 8 to 809 of the family's 1533-position model. The record is from RNAcentral.